AGGACGAACGCUGGCGGCGUGCCUAACACAUGCAAGUCGAACGGAGAUGAUGGGAUAGCUUGCUAUUAAUCAUCUUAGUGGCGGACGGGUGAGUAACACGUGGGCAACCUGCCCCAAAGAGGGGGAUAACACCGAGAAAUCGGUGCUAAUACCGCAUAACAUUAGAGUUUCGCAUGGAGCUUUAAUCAAAGGAGAAAUCCGCUUUGGGAUGGGCCCGCGUCUGAUUAGCUAGUUGGUGAGGUAACGGCUCACCAAGGCGACGAUCAGUAGCCGAUCUGAGAGGAUGACCGGCCACACUGGAACUGAGACACGGUCCAGACUCCUACGGGAGGCAGCAGUGGGGAAUAUUGCACAAUGGGGGAAACCCUGAUGCAGCAACGCCGCGUGGAGGAAGAAGGUCUUCGGAUUGUAAACUCCUGUCUUCUGGGACGAAUAAUGACGGUACCAGAGGAGGAAGCCACGGCUAACUACGUG
This 474-nucleotide ribosomal RNA is filed under the name uncultured bacterium. Its description in RNAcentral is "bacterial SSU rRNA". It matches the Rfam family "Bacterial small subunit ribosomal RNA", at positions 26 to 507 of the family's 1533-position model. The record is from RNAcentral.